AGACAGGCAGUAUGUAUAUGAAAUAAAUUCCUCUAUUCAAGCUAACAAAAAAUAUCUCAUCUACAUUUUGUUUAUCCAUGGAAAGAAACUGAGCAUGUCCUCUGCAGUUUUACUACAGGUCAUCUGAAGGGCAGCCCAUGGAUUCCUCUGAUCCAUGCAGACUUCCCAAGGGCCAAAGAACAAGGCCCGUUUGAUCCAGCACCUGCUGUGAGCCCAUCACUUGGAUACUUUUGCUGCAAAUUUUUACCAGACUGAACAGAGUAAUAUGUAAAGGGGGAAAAAAGCUCAAAGAGCAACAGGAAAAUCAGCAGGAAAUCAACAAAAAAUAUUAUUAAGAGCACUGAUCAAUCAUCUCAGCAUUAUUUUGCCCAAUAUGGUUGCACUUGCAAUAGACCAGCAAUUGGCUCCAGGACUGAAUCCUGGCAUCAGAGAAGACCCCAGGAUCCCAUGACCACAAUAAAUGUGCUGAUCUUCCUCAGCACUCAAACUGGCCUUCCUCAUUCCUUUCACUAAUUCAUCAUUCCUUUCAUUUUAUAAAUCAGAAGAAAGUUUCAAACCUCGAUGCCACAAAGGAAUGAAGCACAGCAUGAAGAAACUUCAUUUCACAUUGAAACAUCACUGUGUGGAACAGUGUGAUGAAAUGAG
RNAcentral lists this long non-coding RNA (645 nucleotides) under Homo sapiens (human). Its description in RNAcentral is "HSALNT0061826". Lineage: Eukaryota; Metazoa; Chordata; Mammalia; Primates; Hominidae. The record is from RNAcentral.